RNAcentral lists this ribosomal RNA (458 nucleotides) under uncultured bacterium. RNAcentral's name for it is "partial 16S ribosomal RNA". It matches the Rfam family "Bacterial small subunit ribosomal RNA", at positions 338 to 795 of the family's 1533-position model. The record is from RNAcentral.
CCUACGGGUGGCAGCAGUGAGGAAUAUUGGUCAAUGGGCGAGAGCCUGAACCAGCCAAGUCGCGUGAGGGAGUACUGCCCUAUGGGUUGUAAACCUCUUUUGUAGGGGAGCAAAAGCCGGAAGGGUCCGGCUGUGAGAGUUCCCGAAGAAAAAGCAUCGGUGAACUCCGUGCCAGUAGCCGCGGUAAUCGGGAGGAUGCGAGCGUUAUCCGGGUUUAUGGGGUUUAAAGGGUGCGUAGGCGGAAGUUUAAGUCAGCGGUAAAAUGUUGGUGCUCAACACCGGCUUGCCGUUGAAACUGGUCUACUUGAGUGAGCGAGAGGUAUGCGGAAUGCGUGGUGUAGCGGUGAAAUGCAUAGAUAUCACGCAGAACUCCGAUUGCGAAGGCAGCAUACCGGCGCUCAACUGACGCUGAGGCACGAAAGCGUGGGGAUCGAACAGGAUUAGAUACCCCUGUAGUC